UACAGAGGUCUCGAGCGUUGUUCGGAUUCAUUGGGCGUAAAGGGUGCGUAGGCGGCGGGGUAAGUCGGAUGUGAAAUCCCGGGGCUCAACCCCGGAACUGCAUUCGAUACUGCCUUGCUAGAGUACUGGAGAGGAGACUGGAAUUUACGGUGUAGCAGUGAAAUGCGUAGAUAUCGUAAGGAAGACCAGUGGCGAAGGCGAGUCUCUGGACAGUUACUGACGCUGAGGCACGAAGGCCAGGGGAGCAAACGGG
Molecule: ribosomal RNA, 253 nt
Filed under: uncultured bacterium
Lineage: Bacteria
Description: partial 16S ribosomal RNA
Rfam family: Bacterial small subunit ribosomal RNA
Source: RNAcentral